UACAGAGGUCUCAAGCGUUGUUCGGAUUCAUUGGGCGUAAAGGGUGCGUAGGCGGCGCGGUAAGUCGGGUGUGAAAUCUCGGAGCUUAACUCCGAAACUGCAUUCGAUACUGCCGUGCUUGAGGACUGGAGAGGAGACUGGAAUUUACGGUGUAGCGGUGAAAUGCGUAGAUAUCGUAAGGAAGACCAGUGGCGAAGGCGGUUCUCUGGGCCUGACCUGACGCUGAGGAGCGAAAGCGUGGGGAGCGAACAGG
Molecule: ribosomal RNA, 253 nt
Filed under: uncultured bacterium
Lineage: Bacteria
Description: partial 16S ribosomal RNA
Rfam family: Bacterial small subunit ribosomal RNA
Source: RNAcentral